Molecule: small nuclear RNA, 107 nt
Organism: Ursus americanus (American black bear)
Lineage: Eukaryota; Metazoa; Chordata; Mammalia; Carnivora; Ursidae
Source: Ensembl
GGGCUCACCUUGGGAGCACAUAUAUUAAAAUUGGAACCAUACAGAGAAAAUUGGCAUGGCUUGUGUGCAAGAAUGACAUGCAAAGUCACGAAGCAUUCCAUAAUUUU